UAAAGCGUGCGCAGGCGGUUUGUAAGACUGUCGUGAAAUCCCCGGGCUCAACCUGGGAAUGGCGAUGGUGACUGCAAGGCUAGAGUUUGGCAGAGGGGGGUAGAAUUCCACGUGUAGCAGUGAAAUGCGUAGAUAUGUGGAGGAACACCGAUGGCGAAGGCAGCCCCCUGGGUCAAAACUGACGCUCAUGCACGAAAGCGUGGGGAGCAAACAGGAUUAGAUACCCCGGU
This 230-nucleotide ribosomal RNA is filed under the name uncultured bacterium. Its description in RNAcentral is "partial 16S ribosomal RNA". It matches the Rfam family "Bacterial small subunit ribosomal RNA", at positions 561 to 791 of the family's 1533-position model. The record is from RNAcentral.